UGCAACUGGAAAAUAAAACAGUCAUAUCAGAUUUCAUACUUAUGCCAUACAUAUUUAUUAUAAUUUUAUUAUUUAUGAUCCUGCUACCUAAUUAAUUGGAAAUAAAAAUCAUUAAAUAUCAAAUAUUCUAAGAAUAAAAUUAUUGGUUGACAUGCCCUAUUUCAGGCAGAUUGUAAAUAAUUAUUCUGUUUAACUAGAUAACACAUUGUUACUUUAGUGUUAAUUUUUCAGCCAUUUGCAAAGUAGCAUUGAGAUAUAGUUAGUGGGGCCAUGAGGAGUAGCAGCUUGCAUGUGCCUUUAAGUGUUUUCAGGCUGACAGUAUUUUAUCCAUCCCAUAUAGACUAUAAUCUUUGGGCUUCUGCCACCUAGUUAUCUAUUCAAUAGAGAAAGUUUAAAAUAAUCGUUUAAUCAUGAUCCUGGCGUAGUUAGAAGACUAGUUAUCAGGUCCUCUCAAACAAAUAUAGGAUGAUUUUCUCACUAGACUGUGUCCUUGGUGGGUUCUUACGCUUCCACAAAGACCCAGAAACUACGUUCAUGCCCCACUUCCUGCCAGAGCAGCAUGGAGACGUGCACACGUGACCUGUGAGCCUUCAGAAUUCAGUGGAGAAAAAGUAGCAUUCAGGACAACUUUCUCAAAGAAUGUCUGGUCCACCCAUUGUUCCAGGUAUUUCAUAAUGAAAAUGGCAGAGGAUCAACGAUGGAUCAGCAAAGAUCCAUAACAGCAGCGUUGCUUUUAAGUGAGUUGCUCUUACUGUGACCUCGUCAUCUGUACUGAGGUUCGCUCCACGAGGAGCCCCGUGAAGCAAAGUAAUAAGUCAGUGGGAACUUGUCCAGAAGGUGCUAAUGGCCAAAAAUUCCUGGGCCAGGUGUGGAAUCUGUGCCACAGCAGUGGCAAUACUGGAUUCUUAACUGCCAGGACACCAGGGAAGUCCUUUUAUUUAUUUAUUUAAAAAAAAAAAAAAAAAAACCCAAGAGAUGUUUUUAUCGUUUAAAGAUCUUGAACAAUUUUUUUCGAAUUUCGAUGUCUUUGUCUUCUCUUGUCUCAUUCUCAAUUUUUGUUCACUUGUCAUAUAGUCAUUAUAAAUAUUUUCUGAAAUAAAAAUAUGUACAUACAGACAUGUAUAAAUAUAUAUAUAUCACUGUACACACAUAAUACAUAUAAUAUUAAUGUACAAUAUAUAAUGUUAUCAAAUAUAUGAUGAACCCCUCUAGAAACUCUCUCUAAUCAGGUUUUUGGCCUUUUUUUGAAGAAAGUGUCUUUAAUCAAAGAAAGAAAUCUACAAAGUGCAGUUUUACCCCAGUGGGAGGCACAGGGGAGAUUUAGCGGGUAGGAAGAAAGCCAGGUGACACUUGAAUUAUAAGUUAGCAGUUACCUAUCCCAUCUGAUCACUGUACCAUUCUAAUGUACACACAAUUCUCAAAACCAAUUUCAGUCUGGAUUUAAGGCAGGAAAUUGGAGCUCGGCCUUCUCACUUUGCUUCUCUUUUCGACCUAUCUUGGGUCAUCAUUAAGCUGGUAGCUCUCUUUUCUCAUAUUGUUUCCUCUUUUAUCUCUGCUUCAUAGUCAGGAACAGCCUACUCAAGAGAUCUCCUGGAUUUUAAAAAUUAAUCCAUACAUGAUUUUUUAAGGACAUUUACUCUGUAGGCAGCAUAAGGCUAGACUUGGAGGACUAUUGACAAGUCCAAGGCAUAGUCUUCUUCCCUGUGUCCAGCCAAGAGUGUAACAGGUUUGUAUUCACUGCUAUGUGGAAGACAUAUAAACAAAUGCAAAAGAAAUAAGCCAAGAAUCAUUUUCUUUUUUUCUUUUUAGGGCCACACCUGAGGCAUAAGUUCCCACGCUAGUGGUAGAAUUGGAGCUGCAGCUGCUGACCUACACCACAGCUCAUGGCAACGCCAGAUCCUUAACCCACAGAGCGAGGCCAGGGAUUGAACCUGCAUCCUCAUGGAUACUAGUUGGGUUCGUCACCUGCUGAGCCACAAUGGGAGUUCCAUUUUCUUAGGGGAGGAGGUUAAAAGAAUGAUGAAGAAUUUCCGAGGAGUGUGUGGUUGAGGGGGUAAAAUAAAAGGUUGCGAAUAUAGUCAUGUUGUGCAGAAAAUCCAUGGAUAACUUUGACAAGUGGUAUAGCCUAAUGAUGAUAAUAAUAAAGCAGUAAUAAUAGUAGUUAGCAUUUACUAAGCACCUAAGUUCACAACGACCCUAUGACUUCGUUAUUAUCAGCAUUCCCAUUUGACACAUGAGGAAAUUGAAGUCCAGAGAUGUUAACUGAUUUUCCCAAAGUCAUACAACCAGACCAAUUAUUGUGGCUCCCAGGUCCACCCGACAAGAGCUAACUUUCAUCCCUGCUGUGCACCUGUGUGUUGGAGUUCCCAUCAUGGCGCAGCAGAAAUGAAUCCGACUAGGAACCAUGAGUUUUCGGGUUCAGUCCCUGACCUCACUCAGUGGGUUAAGGAUCCGGUGUUGCCAUGAGCUGUGGUGUAGGUCGCAGACAUGGCUUGGAUCCUGCGUUGCUGUGGCUGUGGUGUAGGCUGGCACCUGUAGCUCUGAUUAGACCCCUAGCUUGGGCACUUCCAUAUGCCAUGGGUGUGGCCCUAAGGCC
Molecule: long non-coding RNA, 2596 nt
Filed under: Sus scrofa (pig)
Lineage: Eukaryota; Metazoa; Chordata; Mammalia; Artiodactyla; Suidae
Description: lncRNA (ENSSSCG00000061600.1)
Source: RNAcentral